RNAcentral lists this ribosomal RNA (253 nucleotides) under uncultured bacterium. RNAcentral's name for it is "partial 16S ribosomal RNA". It matches the Rfam family "Bacterial small subunit ribosomal RNA", at positions 524 to 776 of the family's 1533-position model. The record is from RNAcentral.
UACGGAGGGUGCGAGCGUUGUCCGGAAUCAUUGGGCGUAAAGGGCGCGUAGGUGGCCCGGUCAGUUUGUGGUGAAAGCGCGGGGCUCAACUCCGCGUCGGCCAUGAAUACUGCUGGGCUGGAGCACUGUAGAGGCAGGCGGAAUUCCGGGUGUAGCGGUGGAAUGCGUAGAGAUCCGGAAGAACACCGGUGGCGAAGGCGGCCUGCUGGGCAGUUGCUGACACUGAGGCGCGACAGCGUGGGGAGCAAACGGG